This is a long non-coding RNA of Eublepharis macularius, 584 nucleotides long. RefSeq lists it as uncharacterized. The record is from RefSeq and is a predicted model, not a curated record. Lineage: Eukaryota; Metazoa; Chordata; Lepidosauria; Squamata; Eublepharidae. The transcript has 3 exons.
CGGCGGCGGCGGCGGCAGCAAUAUGUCUCCCUACGUCUCUCAGUCCCUGCUUAGCUCAGCCGCUCUGUGAACGGGAACAAGUAAACCAGUCAUGCUGCAGGUGAAGAGAAGAAGGACGAGGCACAAGCAAAUAAGUAAAGUCCAAAUAUCAGGAUAAGACCACCCUGAUGCAGAGCACUUUCUCACCAGAGGGUCAUGCAUCAUCUGGUUGCAGGCUGCACCUGAGACACUGGAACUGCUGCCGCCGUCACUGCUGCCAACCAUGGACACCCUCCUAGAACGCUGCAGAUGGGGCUUGGCCUUGGAACAGGUUGGGUCCCUUGCCAUACAUGUGUCUGUUUCCCUUGCAGGCAGGUUGCAACUCGUCAGGGAUACCAAAGAGCAUGGCUAUUCCAACCCCCAGUGAUCCUCCUCGGUUUCCAUUCAGGUCCAAUCCAGGGAGCAGUUCCCCAAGGCAGCCUGUAUCUCAACCUCACCCCUGCGAGGGCAGGAUGAGGAAUGGAUUUUGUGUCUCUGACUUCUGCGCAAACUGCCUCUGUUCCCUUUCCAUCCGAGGGACAUUGGCAAUAUACAUGUCCAGACAA